UAGGAAUUGGCGGGGGAGCACCGCAACGGGAGGAGCGUGCGGUUCAAUUGGAUUCAACGCCGGACAACUCACCAGGAGCGACGGUUACAUGAAGGCCAGGUUGAUGACCUUGCCCGAUUUUCCGAGAGGUGGUGCAUGGCCGUCGUCAGUUCGUACCGUAAGGCGUUCUCUUAAGUGAGAUAACGAACGAGACCCUCACCAUUAAUUGCGAGCUUUCUCUCCGGAGGGAGUGCACAUUAGUGGGACCGCUGGCGCUAAGUCAGAGGAAGGAGAGGUCAACGGUAGGUCCGUAUGCCCCGAAUCUCCUGGGCUACACGCGCGCUACAAAGGUUGGGACAAUGGGCUACAACAUCGAAAGGUGAAGUCAAUCCCGAAACCCAAUCGUAGUUCGGAUUGAGGGUUGUAACUCACCCUCAUGAAGCUGGAUUCCGUAGUAAUCGCUUGUCAACAUCAAGCGGUGAAUAUGCCCCUGCUCCUUGCACACACCGCCCGUCAAGCCACCCGAGUAGGGUUUCAGUAAGGAUAUCUCUGAUUGGGGUUUUCGAACUGAGAUUCUGCAAGGAGGGCUAAGUCGUAACAAGGUAGCCUCAGUCAGUCA
This 598-nucleotide ribosomal RNA is filed under the name uncultured euryarchaeote. RNAcentral describes it as "bacterial SSU rRNA". It matches the Rfam family "Archaeal small subunit ribosomal RNA", at positions 858 to 1458 of the family's 1478-position model. The record is from RNAcentral. Lineage: Archaea; Methanobacteriati; Methanobacteriota.